Molecule: unclassified non-coding RNA, 477 nt
Filed under: Hevea brasiliensis (rubber tree)
Lineage: Eukaryota; Viridiplantae; Streptophyta; Magnoliopsida; Malpighiales; Euphorbiaceae
Source: RNAcentral
UGACUUUUACAGCGCCUAAUUAAAUCAAAUUUGGGCCUGGAUUUGCCACAUCAUCCCAAUUUGAACCUCUCAAACUAAGGCCCCCGCAGCAACCAAGCGCUCGGCGCGUGUUACACCUCUCCGGCUAUUAUCAGCCGACUAACUCACUACAGUUCCGGCGACUAUUUCCACGCGCAUUUUUCCCACUUGGGCAAACUUUUCAAAAUCCCUUAAUCAAAACUCCGCGCCACUAAAUGCUGUCCAAUGCUAUCACCCUCGUGGGAUUCACGCUCAUCAGUCUCUCCUCGUUGAUUGGUGCUUGUGUUGCACGCACUAUAGUCACAGGUGAGUCCAACUCUGGUGAUAUUUGUCAUGAUACUUCGCGGACACGACUAUAUUACACACGAAUGCAUACUAACCGUACACCUGUAAGAUAAGAGUGAGGUAGAGAGAGAAAUUUAGUGAGAGAAAUAUUUUUUAGAGAGAGAAAGUGUUUCU